UAUGUGACGUCAGAGCGCGUAACUGGGAUUACAUCGAUCUAGUACGAGUUCACGGGUGGGAAGUCACGGGUUUGACUGCCGUUCCAGUGCACUUUCACGGGUAGAAGGUUGGAAAAACACGGGUUACGGGUUGCCUGGAACGUGGCAUCAGAACGUUCAAGAGCUUACUUUAAAA
Molecule: long non-coding RNA, 175 nt
Organism: Sinocyclocheilus anshuiensis
Lineage: Eukaryota; Metazoa; Chordata; Actinopteri; Cypriniformes; Cyprinidae
Exons: 3
Source: RefSeq, a predicted model, not a curated record